This 256-nucleotide ribosomal RNA is filed under the name uncultured bacterium. RNAcentral's name for it is "partial 16S ribosomal RNA". It matches the Rfam family "Bacterial small subunit ribosomal RNA", at positions 1237 to 1500 of the family's 1533-position model. The record is from RNAcentral.
GUACAGAGGGAUGCUACCGGGCGACCGGAUGCGGAUCUCGAAAGCCUGUCCCAGUUCGGACUGGAGUCUGCAACCCGACUCCACGAAGUUGGAUUCGCUAGUAAUCGCGCAUCAGCCAUGGCGCGGUGAAUACGUUCCCGGGCCUUGUACACACCGCCCGUCAAGCCAUGGGAGCCGGGGGGCGCCUGAAGUCCGGGACCGCGAGGACCGGCCUAGGGCGAAACUGGUAACUGGGGCUAAGUCGUAACAAGGUAAC